This 269-nucleotide ribosomal RNA is filed under the name uncultured prokaryote. RNAcentral describes it as "partial 16S ribosomal RNA". It matches the Rfam family "Bacterial small subunit ribosomal RNA", at positions 524 to 792 of the family's 1533-position model. The record is from RNAcentral.
UACGGAGGAUGCGAGCGUUAUCCGGAUUUACUGGGCGUAAAGGGAGCGUAGGCGGACUUUUAAGUGAGAUGUGAAAUACCCGGGCUCAACUUGGGUGCUGCAUUUCAAACUGGAAGUCUAGAGUGCAGGAGAGGAGAAUGGAAUUCCUAGUGUAGCGGUGAAAUGCGUAGAGAUUAGGAAGAACACCAGUGGCGAAGGCGCUUCUCUGGACUGUAACUGACGCUGAGGCUCGAAAGCGUGGGGAGCAAACAGGAUUAGAUACCCCGGUA